AAAAAGACAAACCUUGAUUUCCGUGUCCAACGUUCGAUCGUCCGUCUUAUUUGAAAAAAUUAUAAAAAAAAUUAAAAAGACAAGUCACGCAUAAAAUAUUAAUUAUGUUUUAUCAUCUAACAACAAUGAAAAUAUGAAUUAUAAAAAAUUUUCAUAUAAGACGGACAGUCAAAGUUGGACAUGAAAACCCAGAGUUUGUUUUUUU
Molecule: microRNA precursor, 205 nt
Filed under: Oryza sativa Japonica Group (Japanese rice)
Lineage: Eukaryota; Viridiplantae; Streptophyta; Magnoliopsida; Poales; Poaceae
Description: MIR812 microRNA precursor family
Rfam family: MIR812 microRNA precursor family
Source: Rfam by way of RNAcentral